This 253-nucleotide ribosomal RNA is filed under the name uncultured bacterium. RNAcentral's name for it is "partial 16S ribosomal RNA". It matches the Rfam family "Bacterial small subunit ribosomal RNA", at positions 524 to 776 of the family's 1533-position model. The record is from RNAcentral.
UACAGAGGUCUCGAGCGUUAGGCGGAAUCACUGGGCUUAAAGCGUGUGUAGGUGGAUCGUUAAGUACCUUGUGAAAUCCCACGGCUUAACCGUGGAACUGCUUGGUAUACUGGCGGUCUUGAGUCAGCUAGGGGCUACCGGAACAAAUGGUGGAGCGGUGAAAUGCGUAGAUAUCUGGAGGAACACCGGUGGCGAAAGCGGCUCACUGGACCCGAUCUGACACUGAGGUGCGAAAGCUAGGGUAGCAAACGGG